UGGCGCUUGAGGCUUUUUGCCUUAUGGCGUUUCAGGUGGUUUGUGCCGCGUUGUGAGGCAGAAAGCAGAAAGCCCCGAGUAAUUUUUCAAUUAACCCGAGGCCCACUGUAUGCCUAGACAACAUCAGUAUGGCUUCUUACCGUGCAUUAUGCAAGGAGGCGUAACCCAUG
Molecule: non-coding RNA, 170 nt
Organism: Mangrovibacter sp. MFB070
Lineage: Bacteria; Pseudomonadati; Pseudomonadota; Gammaproteobacteria; Enterobacterales; Enterobacteriaceae
Rfam family: sok antitoxin (CssrC)
About the family: Also identified in Shigella as CssrC.
Source: Rfam